RNAcentral lists this ribosomal RNA (489 nucleotides) under uncultured bacterium. Its description in RNAcentral is "partial 16S ribosomal RNA". It matches the Rfam family "Bacterial small subunit ribosomal RNA", at positions 29 to 507 of the family's 1533-position model. The record is from RNAcentral.
AGUGAACGCUGGCGGUAGGCCUAACACAUGCAAGUCGAACGGCAGCACAGGAGAGCUUGCUCUCUAGGUGGCGAGUGGCGGACGGGUGAGGAAUACAUCGGAAUCUGCCCAGUCGUGGGGGAUAACGUAGGGAAACUUACGCUAAUACCGCAUACGACCUUCGGGUGAAAGAGGGGGAUCGCAAGACCUCUCGCGAUUGGAUGAGCCGAUGUCGGAUUAGCUAGUUAGCGGGGUAAUGGCCCACCAAGGCGACGAUCCGUAGCUGGUCUGAGAGGAUGAUCAGCCACACUGGAACUGAGACACGGUCCAGACUCCUACGGGAGGCAGCAGUGGGGAAUAUUGGACAAUGGGCGCAAGCCUGAUCCAGCCAUACCGCGUGGGUGAAGAAGGCCUUCGGGUUGUAAAGCCCUUUGUUGGGAAAGAAAUCUUUCAGGCUAAUACCCUGGGAGGAUGACGGUACCCAAAGAAUAAGCACCGGCUAACUUCGUG